Molecule: small RNA, 502 nt
Filed under: Pongo abelii (Sumatran orangutan)
Lineage: Eukaryota; Metazoa; Chordata; Mammalia; Primates; Hominidae
Description: processed transcript
Source: RNAcentral
GAUGAAUCUUCAAGUCAUGAAUGUAACCAGCGCACAAUCCUUCUCUAUGGAGUCGGCAAAGAGCGUGAUGAAGCAAGGCAUCAGCUGAAGAAGAUUACCAAAGAUAUCCUGAAAAUUCUAAAUAAGAAGAGCACCACAGAGACAGGGGUUGGGGACGAAGGACAAAAAGCCAGGAAAAACAAACAGGAGACAUUUCCAACACUGGAGACUGUGUUCACUAAACUCCAGCUCCUUUCAUAUUUUGAUCAACAUCAAGUGACAUCUCAGAUUUCUAACAAUGUGCUAGAACAAAUCACAAGCUUUGCGUCAGGAACAUCCUAUCAUCUCCCUUUGGCUCACCACAUUCAGCUCAUCUUUGAUCUCAUGGAGCCAGCACUGAACAUCAAUGGACUAAUUGACUUCGCAAUACAGUUACUAAAUGAACUGAGUGUUGUGGAAGCUGAACUGCUCCUAAAAUCCUCCAGCCUGGCAGGAAGUUAUACAACAGGACUGUGUGUCUGCA